RNAcentral lists this unclassified non-coding RNA (240 nucleotides) under soil metagenome. RNAcentral's name for it is "partial contains 5.8S ribosomal RNA, internal transcribed spacer 2, and large subunit ribosomal RNA". The record is from RNAcentral.
AACCUAGCACACCUGCGGUGUGUACCUGCGGAGGGAUCAUUAACCUUUCAAAUCAGGGUGCGGCGCGGCCCCCGAGGAGCGGAAACAAUCCUUGGGAGGUAUGCGGGGGCUUCGAGCCCCCCAUUUACGCACGCACGACUGCCAUCCUUACCUUACGAGCACCUUCUGUUCUCCCUCGGCGGGGCAACCUGCCGUUGGAACCGAAUAAACUCUUUUUGCAUCUAGCAUUACCUGUUCCGA